UACGAAGGGAGCUAGCGUUGUUCGGAAUCACUGGGCGUAAAGCGCACGUAGGCGGAUGUGUCAGUCAGGGGUGAAAUCCCGGAGCUCAACUUCGGAACUGCCUUUGAUACAGCACGUCUUGAGUCCGAUAGAGGUGGGUGGAAUUCCUAGUGUAGAGGUGAAAUUCGUAGAUAUUCGCAAGAACACCAGUGGCGAAGGCGGCUCACUGGCCCGAUACUGACGCUGAGGUGCGAAAGCGUGGGGAGCAAACAGG
This 253-nucleotide ribosomal RNA is filed under the name uncultured bacterium. RNAcentral's name for it is "partial 16S ribosomal RNA". It matches the Rfam family "Bacterial small subunit ribosomal RNA", at positions 524 to 776 of the family's 1533-position model. The record is from RNAcentral.